AGAAAACAAAGAUGGUGUUCAGCAUUUUCCUGCUCAAAUGAGUGGACUGUUGAAAAUAGGAAUCGGGGGAUUACUUUUCACAAGUUUGACCGUGGGACCUUCAGGGUCAUCUGGUUGUCCGAUCUAAGGCAACGACCAAGCCUGGAGCUGCCCAGGGGCAAGUCCUCAAACGCCACUUUUCCUGUCUAUCCAUGGAGGCCAAGCUGCUCCAGGACUUUGUUUGUGGCAAUUUUCCUCAGCAUUGUCCUCACCGUGUCUGCCAAAGUCUGCCCACCAAGAGCAGUAAGAGCUUUCACCUAUACAAAUAAAUAAACAACAAUAUUGUACUUGAUUAGAACAUGUUUUUUGAUAACUGAGCAAGGUCAUUUUGCAGUGGGGAAUUAAAAAUAAUUACCAGCUGCUUUCUGAGCAGAAGAUCAGUGUCGAGCCGUUCACAGAAGGCCUUCAGCUGCUCAAGAGUCUCGAAAGGCUUCUCAAUGAGAUCUUCAACAUCCACAGCUUCUGGACCCACAGACUGUGCUGCCAGCCCUCUCAGCAUGCGCAUAAUUUCUCCCUGGUUCUCAAGUAUAUUUUGAACUUUCAUGUUCAACUGUAAAACUGCAAAGACAACAAAAGUCAAAGAGGGCAUUCCUGCUGCUUCUUGGAGCGGUCUGGUACUGACUCGUACUGGCUGGAGUGGUCUGGUACUGGCUUGAGCUGGAUGCAUUAUUCCUGUCUGGACUGAGCCUGGAAGUGCUGCUUCUCGCUGGGCUGUGAGGUCGGCCUGGAUGCCUUGGAGUGGUCUGGUAUUGGCUGGUACUGGCUGAAGUGGUCUGGUACUCGCUGGAGAUUGGAAUGUUAAAUGAUGGGAACUCUGGCAGUGGGGGGGCCUGGACGAGGAUCUGUGGUUUCUCUUUUCUGCACUUCUUUUUUGGCCGAAUUUCCUCUUCGUCUAAACCAACGAAGACAAUAAAAU
This is a long non-coding RNA of Entelurus aequoreus (snake pipefish), 955 nucleotides long. RefSeq lists it as uncharacterized. The transcript is spliced from 4 exons. Lineage: Eukaryota; Metazoa; Chordata; Actinopteri; Syngnathiformes; Syngnathidae. The record is from RefSeq and is a predicted model, not a curated record.